Molecule: ribosomal RNA, 625 nt
Filed under: uncultured bacterium
Lineage: Bacteria
Description: bacterial SSU rRNA
Rfam family: Bacterial small subunit ribosomal RNA
Source: RNAcentral
AGAGUUUGAUCAUGGCUCAGAACGAACGCUGGCGGCGUGCCUAACACAUGCAAGUCGAACGAGAAAUCGGGCACUCAGGCAACUGAGUGCCGGAGAGUAAAGUGGCGCACGGGUGAGUAACACGUGGGUAACCUACCCCCGAAUCUGGGAUAACUUCGCGAAAGCGUUGCUAAUACCGGAUAUUGUCCUUUUGGUUGUGACCUUUGGGAUGAAAGGCAACCUCUUCAUGAAAGUUGUCGUUCAGGGAUGGGCCCGCGUACCAUUAGCUUGUUGGUGGGGUAACGGCCCACCAAGGCUACGAUGGUUAGCUGGUCUGAGAGGAUGAUCAGCCACACUGGAACUGAAACACGGUCCAGACUCCUACGGGAGGCAGCAGUGGGGAAUUUUGCGCAAUGGGGGAAACCCUGACGCAGCAACGCCGCGUGAGUGAAGAAGGCUUUCGGGUCGUAAAGCUCUGUCAAGUGGGAAAAAAGUCUGAUGAUUAAUAGUUGUUAGAUCUGAUGGUACCACUAGAGGAAGCACCGGCUAACUCCGUGCCAGCAGCCGCGGUAAUACGGAGGGUGCAAGCGUUGUUCGGAAUUACUGGGCGUAAAGGGCGUGCAGGCGGGUUGGUAAGUCAGAUGUG